GGAAGUUCAGGGAGAAAAGAUAAGAAAAAGAAGUAUGCUUUAUUAUGAGGCAAUCUCUGUCAUUUUCUAUCUGUGCAGCCUCAGUGACGUGAGCACGAUGCAACUGAUCCAGAAGUGAAGGCACCGUUUUAGGGACUGGCCCUAAAAUCUGACAUGUGAUAUUCUAAACAUUGCCCCUUCUGCAGCACCCAGGGAGACCUCAUCUUGAGGAUGGGAGCGCUGUAAGAUGGAAGGAGCCCAGCUUCUCAACGACAACACAGAGUAGGACCACUUCCUCCCACACCAACCUCAUUGCACAGCGACCUGAGUAUGUUUGGAAACUAUGAGAAAGACCAAGAGUAAUACUUUCACGAAUCCCCAAUCCCUCCCUGUUUCAGCCUUGCUACCGAGUGACUGUUGAGGUUCACUUCCUGCUGUGAUUUUCCAAAGCACGGAGAACGGCACACAGGUUGGCUGCACCUCUUCUCCCCAUCUUACUAACAGCUGCUCAAAACGCGACCUGUGUAUUAUUAGGUUCUUCAGCAUCACAGCACAUGUCAGGACCUGACCUGGGACCCCCAUGGGAGAGAAUCUCUAAAUCACCACAGCGCCGGAGGUGGAAAAUAAGACAACAGCACAACAAUAACAAAAGAGAGGGGAGCGGGGACUACGGUGGUCCUGCCGGGUCCCGCUCGGGAGCAUCAUGGGGAGUGUCUCCUCAGCCUCGUUGGGGCCACUCUCAGCGAGUUGGUGGCUGAAGGGCAGGGAGGAUGAGUGUCAUCCCCGUCUGACUAGCGGGUGAAAGGCUCAGAGAGGUGAUCUGACUGCCACGAUGCCCCACUGCCCCGCAGAGCCUCUCCGGAUGGAGGCACAGGGGCACCACCGAGGACUCCCCAUCACCGCAGGCGCGGCUCCCUUUCAAGCGGCUGAGGCUGGAGGCUGAGGAGCACCUCAACACCGCCCCAGGCCAACUGCAAGAAGCAUGGCAGCAGAGCAGUUUAGGAAACCGGCUUUGGAUGCAGCCAGAACUGGGGGUGGGGCCUGCUCGGGUCACUUUCUAGGUGUAGUCCUUGACUAUGCUGCUUAACCUUACUCUUUGUGUCCUUAAAUAUCAGUAAUGGCUAAAAAACAUUUAGCGCAAUACUCUGGCUUACCGUAAGUGCCCGAACUACCGCGGCUUACCCGUGUAACAGGUCAUCCUUACAAGAGGUCAUGCUAGGGCCAUUGCAAGGUCUGCUGACAGGAGGAUCCCGAGAGCACUGUUCGGUCCGACUGGAGGUCUGUGAAAUAUCACAUUUCCUUAUGGCCCCAGCAUCUGCCAAAUGCUCUCAAAAGGCAGUGACUGAGUCCUCCUUGUGUCAGGUCAGAGCCUAGCUGGGCAAGGAGAGUUCUUCGGGGGUUCAGAUAAGAAGGGUGGGCGGGUUCCUGAAGGCAGAGAGGGAACCACUCUGGGCAUCUGCUGUCUUGCCUCCUUUCACACUCCUGUGGGUGUGAGGGAACAGCAGCCUUGUCCUCUGCACACAUCCUGCCAAGGGCAGGGGGGCACAGACGGCAGAACAGGCUCCUGAGAACCAGGGCUGCAGGGAUCUGACUGACACCUGCCAGUUACCCACUCUAGGCAGGGCCAUGCAUUUGCUCUCAGAGGCAGUGCAAAAAAUAACUAAGAAAACAAACAAAAACCAGUGUUUUUUAUCUUCAUCUCUGUAAGCUCUUUCUGGCCUAACUGCCAGAAAAGACUGGCCCUGAAGAUUUCAUUUAUUACUGUUUCUUACAGGGAAUAGAGUGAUUUCCACUGGAUCCCUAAGUAAGCUGAUGGGAGAAGGGGGAGUAAUAAAUUAUAAGCAUGUGCUUUGUGCUGAACACUAACAUGCAUCUUACUUCUGUAUCUUUAAUUUCAUUAAAUCUUGACAAACGGGGGCUAGCUCCUUCUUAGAGAGAAGGGAAGUGCAUUUAGAAAAUUACAUGGAUAAAAAGUGUUAGAGCCCAGAAUCUACCCCAGGUUUGUCUACUCUGGUCUCUUAACUGCCCUCAUCUCUCUAUUACAUCUCCAGAUGUAAGAGCGUGUGGCAUGUGGUCCUACCUUACCCAGAGACUGUUGGGUGCUUGCUGAUAGGACUCUUGGGCAAGGGCCCACACCCAGAGAGCCAGUGCCCGGCCUCAGAUUGUGGAGGAGGGGAGGGUGCACAUCUGUUAGUCUUUAGCAGCAUCACUGGGAAUCUGGCAAGGAGUCAGGAUGGAGCCAGUGUUCUUCCCUGUGUGUGACCUGUGGCCGGCAGCAGCCAGCAGCAGAGAAACACACUGACGUCCCGGGGAGGCCUCUGAUGAAUGACAGCGCUCUUCCCCGAUGGCUCCUCCUGCCCAGCCCAGCGUGGAAGGAGUGAGAUGUGAAUCACUAAAUACAGACCACAUUCAAGGGGUUGGAAUUGGCUACUUUCACUUUUGAUCCAAUGCAAAUCCAUUUUACACACUGGGGGAACUUGAAGAAAAAAAACAACAGAUCAAGCAACUCUCUUACCUAACACCUUUUAAUGGCUUCCUACUGUCUUCAAGAGAAAUUCUUACUCAUUUUGCAUCAUACACAUGGAGGCUGCUGUAGAAUCCCCUGGAGGGAAACUCCAGGAUGGCUCCAUUUUUGUUUCAGACCAGAGUAUGAGGAUUCUUGAAGCUAUAAGGGCCUUUCAACCUCACCUGAGAGAAUUCUUCAUCUCUACAGAUGGAAAAACAAGACUGAGAAGGGAAGAACUUUGGCUAAGUACUCACAAUGUUAGAACUGGAGCUAAACCUAUCCGGGCCUCAGAAAUUCAAGGAAUUCUCAAACAACAAACAAACAAACAAAUGGCCUCAAACAUUGACAGUAUUUAUCAAAAUUUUUCCCACCAGGUUGUUCUUCCAGAUUCCCACUCUCAUUCUCUCUCUUGCUUCCUUUAUUAUUCCUUAUUUAUUCCUAAUUCUUCAUCUUUGUUUCUUUUUCCAGAAACUUUUCUCAACCCCCUUGAAUUUAUCUUCAAAACCUAGCUUUGUGAAGUUCUGUGAAAUAAAUGGAAAGGAGAGAGUCUAGAGGAUUGAAUUAUUGAUCCCAAUUCUUCAUUCCUCUGUAACAGCAUGAGCCUUCCACACCCCUGCUAUGGCCUCAUGGUAGCCACUACAUGUUCCCAUCUGAGACUUCGGGCUGCUGACUUAUCAUCAACAAGACAUGACAUCUAUAUCCUGCUUCUGUCACUGCCAUGAGCACUUGGCCUGGGGGUCCACUGUCCCUUUAGCUUGGGCUGCAGAAUGAGACAGAAAGAGCAGACCUGACCCAGACCUGCAGGUGAAAGCUAAGCCCAGCAGAGCUCAACAGAGCCCAACUAAUGUCACAGGUGUGCCUGGAAAUCUCUGGAAACAGACUCUGCCUCAGAAAGGAAAGUGGUAUCUAACUAUACACUUGAAAUACCCACACUCUAAGAUAAAGUAGGUUUCAAUAUUUAUUCAGUCAGUCAUUAAUUAAGCCAUUCAACAAAUAAUCAUUGAGCACCAACUAUGACACUAUCCAAGCCUAAAGUUUAUUAACUUUCUGCAGCUACACGUCAAGAUUUGCCCAUGAAUGCAUUUUUCAGAGGGAUGUGUUUCUGGCUUUCUUCAACUACUCAAAUAGGUCCUUAACCCCAACCAAAUAAGUAAAGGCCCUUGGUUUAAGGGUUCACUUGGGAUUUGGUUUAUUUACCAUAAAAGGUCAAUACUGAAUAGUAGUAUUGCAUAACUGCUCACCUAUGAGUACAGAGUAAAG
This is a non-coding RNA of Manis javanica (Malayan pangolin), 3745 nucleotides long. NCBI's taxonomy places the organism in Eukaryota, Metazoa, Chordata, Mammalia, Pholidota, Manidae. The record is from RefSeq and is a predicted model, not a curated record.